UACGGAGGGGGUUAGCGUUGUUCGGAAUGACUGGGCGUAAAGCGCGCGUAGGCGGAUCAUGCAAGUCGGGGGUGAAAUCCCGGGGCUCAACCCCGGAAUGGCCUUCGAGACUGCUGGUCUUGAGUUCGAGAGAGGUGAGUGGAAUUCCGAGUGUAGAGGUGAAAUUCGUAGAUAUUCGGAGGAACACCAGUGGCGAAGGCGGCUCACUGGCUCGACACUGACGCUGAGGUGCGAAAGCGUGGGGAGCAAACAGG
This 254-nucleotide ribosomal RNA is filed under the name uncultured bacterium. RNAcentral's name for it is "partial 16S ribosomal RNA". It matches the Rfam family "Bacterial small subunit ribosomal RNA", at positions 524 to 776 of the family's 1533-position model. The record is from RNAcentral.